This 253-nucleotide ribosomal RNA is filed under the name uncultured bacterium. RNAcentral's name for it is "partial 16S ribosomal RNA". It matches the Rfam family "Bacterial small subunit ribosomal RNA", at positions 524 to 776 of the family's 1533-position model. The record is from RNAcentral.
UACGUAGGGUGCAAGCGUUAAUCGGAAUUACUGAGCGUAAAGCGUGCGCAGGCGGUGAUGUAAGACAGAUGUGAAAUCCCCGGGCUCAACCUAGGAACUGCAUUUGUGACUGCAUCGCUGGAGUGCGGCAGAGGGGGAUGGAAUUCCGCGUGUAGCAGUGAAAUGCGUAGAUAUGCGGAGGAACACCGAUGGCGAAGGCAAUCCCCUGGGCCUGCACUGACGCUCAUGCACGAAAGCGUGGGGAGCAAACAGG